This 401-nucleotide unclassified non-coding RNA is filed under the name Hevea brasiliensis (rubber tree). Lineage: Eukaryota; Viridiplantae; Streptophyta; Magnoliopsida; Malpighiales; Euphorbiaceae. The record is from RNAcentral.
GGGAAUCAGGAUGGAGUAGCCUUCAUCGCGCCCUGCAUUUUGGUCAUCUUGCUGUUGCUAGCAUCCUUCUCCAGUCUGGUGUUUCUAGCACUCUGGAAGAUACGAAAUCUAGGACUCCCAUUGAUUUGUUAUCAGGACCUGAUUUACAGGGCAUUGAAAAGAAUAAUUCAGCUGCUACAGAGGUUUUCAGUUGGGGCAGUGGUGUAAAUUAUCAACUAGGGACUGGAAACGCACAUAUUCAAAAGUUACCCUGCAAAGUUGAUUCUCUCCAUGGAUCAGUCAUCAAGUUGGUUUCUGCAGCAAAAUUUCAUAGUGCCGCCGUUACUGCCCGUGGAGAACUCUAUACUUGGGGUUUUGGAAGAGGAGGCCGUCUUGGGCACCCUGACUUUGAUAUACAUAGC